RNAcentral lists this ribosomal RNA (435 nucleotides) under uncultured bacterium. RNAcentral describes it as "partial 16S ribosomal RNA". It matches the Rfam family "Bacterial small subunit ribosomal RNA", at positions 28 to 507 of the family's 1533-position model. The record is from RNAcentral.
GAUGAACGCUGGCGGUAUGCUUAACACAUGCAAGUCGAACGGACUCUUCGGAGUUAGGGGCGGACGGGGGAGGAACGCGGGAGAAGCAGGCCGUGGGUUCGGGACAACCACUGGAAACGGAGGCUAAUACCGGUGGUGCCGAUAGGGAAAAGAGGAAUUUUCUGAAGAGGAGCUCGCGGCUGCUUAGCGCGGUGGUGGGGGAAAGCCCCACCAAUGCAGCGGUCAGUCGGUGGUCUGAGGGGAUGACCAGCCACAGGGGGUCUGAGACACGGCCCAGACCCCUGCGAGAGGCAGCAGUGGAGAAUUUUCCGAUGGGGGCAAGCGCGUGACAGCGCAGUACCGCGUGGGAGAAGGAGGCUCUUGUGUUGUAACGCUUUUUUCUUAGGGGAGGACAAAAUGACGGUACCUGAGAAAUCAGCACCGGCUAACUCCGUG